ACAGAGGUCCCAAGCGUUGUUCGGAUUCACUAGGCGUAAAGGGUGCGUAGGCGGCGGGGAAAGUUUGAUGUGAAAGCUCCGGGCUUAACCCGGAAAUUGCAUUGAAAACUCCCCCGCUAGAGGAUUGGAAGGGAGACUGGAAUUCUCGGUGUAGCAGUGAAAUGCGUAGAUAUCGAGAGGAACAUCAGUGGCGAAGGCGAGUCUCUGGACAAUUCCUGACGCUGAGGCACGAAAGCCAGGGUAGCAAACGGGAUUAGAUACCCCGGUAGUCCUGGCCCUAAACGGUGCGCAUUUGCUGUGAGAGGAUUCGACCCCUUUCGUGGCGAAGCUAACGCGAUAGAUGCGCCGCCUGGGGAGUACGGUCGCAAGAUUA
Molecule: ribosomal RNA, 373 nt
Filed under: uncultured bacterium
Lineage: Bacteria
Description: bacterial SSU rRNA
Rfam family: Bacterial small subunit ribosomal RNA
Source: RNAcentral